This 426-nucleotide ribosomal RNA is filed under the name Triticum aestivum (bread wheat). RNAcentral describes it as "partial small subunit ribosomal RNA". Lineage: Eukaryota; Viridiplantae; Streptophyta; Magnoliopsida; Poales; Poaceae. The record is from RNAcentral.
AUGAUUAGCACGAAGAGACUUGCUCAACUGGCAAAGAAGUGGCAGAGGGUGGCGGCACUUGGGAGGAAGAGGCUCACAGUGACAGCCAAAGAAGAUGAAGAAUGCUGCACCUCUGGAGUGGUAAAGGGCCACUGCAUCAUGUACACGGCCCACGGAAGCCGUUUCGAGGUCCCGUUGGUGUACCUCAGCAUGAUGGUCUUCGGAGAGCUCCUAAGAGUGUCCCAGGAAGAGUUUGGUUUCGCAAGCAAUGGAAAGAUCACACUGCCUUGUGAUGCCGCAGUGAUGGAGUAUGUCAUGUGCUUGCUCAGCAGAGAUGCCUCUGCUGAGGUCGAGAAGGCAUUGCUGAGUUCUAUGGUGAUAUCUUGCCACUACACUGUUUCUGUGAUGCCAACUGUUGGAGACAGCCAGAAAAAUUGCUGUUCGUAA